GGCUACCUUGUUACGACUUCACCCCAGUCAUGAAUCACAAAGUGGUAAGCGCCCUCCCGAAGGUUAAGCUACCUACUUCUUUUGCAACCCACUCCCAUGGUGUGACGGGCGGUGUGUACAAGGCCCGGGAACGUAUUCACCGCAACAUUCUGAUUUGCGAUUACUAGCGAUUCCGACUUCACGCAGUCGAGUUGCAGACUGCGAUCCGGACUACGAUAUGCUUUAAGAGAUCCGCUCACUGUCGCCAGCUUGCCUCCCUCUGUACAUACCAUUGUAGCACGUGUGUAGCCCUACUCGUAAGGGCCAUGAUGACUUGACGUCGUCCCCACCUUCCUCCGGUUUAUCACCGGCAGUCUCCCUAGAGUUCCCACCAUUACGUGCUGGCAACUAAGGAUAAGGGUUGCGCUCGUUGCGGGACUUAGCCCAACAUUUCACAACACGAGCUGACGACAGCCAUGCAGCACCUGUCUUAGCGUUCCCGAAGGCACAACCGCAUCUCUGCAGUCUUCGCUAGAUGUCAAGAGUAGGUAA
This 531-nucleotide ribosomal RNA is filed under the name uncultured bacterium. RNAcentral describes it as "partial 16S ribosomal RNA". The record is from RNAcentral.